GAAGAGUUGAAUGUUUUCUCUAUAUCUCACGCUGAAAGAUGUUACGAGGACUCUAAGCUGCCAAAAGAUUUAGUCUAUGGUCGUGCCUAUAGUUCCUUUGUGAUUUUCGAAUUAUUACUUUGCCUUCGUUGUGAUUAUGUGAUAUGUGAUGGGGGCCAUGAGAGUUAGUCCAUUGUCGUAGAGGUUGUGUUUUGACACAGAGAAAAUUAAAGCCAGUGCAUAUGGAGUUUCUAAGCAUAGAAAUUGACGUUGGGAAUGGGCACUACAGAAAAUAUGUGUAUUAAUAGCAUCAAAUUAUAGCGUU
This is a long non-coding RNA of Brassica oleracea var. oleracea, 304 nucleotides long. RefSeq lists it as uncharacterized. The record is from RefSeq and is a predicted model, not a curated record. The transcript is spliced from 3 exons. Lineage: Eukaryota; Viridiplantae; Streptophyta; Magnoliopsida; Brassicales; Brassicaceae.